UCCCCUCCCAGCUCAGUGGUGGAGCCCGCCACUACUACUGUAUUUCAUUGGUCAUAGGCGGGUUGGUCGUUCGAAUCGGCCGGGGGAA
Non-coding RNA from Lyophyllum atratum, 88 nucleotides. The record is from the annotation of a GenBank genome assembly. NCBI's taxonomy places the organism in Eukaryota, Fungi, Basidiomycota, Agaricomycetes, Agaricales, Lyophyllaceae.